AGAGAGAGAGAGAGAGAGAGAGAGAGAGAGAGAGAGAGAGAGAGAGAGAGAGAGAGACAGGUCAGAGAGAGCGCGCUGGCAAGCGAACAGAGAGAGGGACAGGGGCAAAGUGACUGACCUGCUUUUGGGGGUGACCGCCAGAGCGCGGCGUGAGCCCUCCCCCUUGGGAUCUUGCAUCGGACCAGUCGCGCUGACGGACAGACAGACAGACACCGCCCCCAGCCCCAGCGCCCACCUCCUCGCCGGCGGGCUGCCGACGGUGGACGCGCCGGCGAGCCGCGAGGAGCCGAAGCCCGCGCCCGGAGGCGGGGUGGAGGGGGUCGGGGCUCGCGGGAUCGCACGGAAACUUUUCGUCCAACUUCUGGGCUCUUCUCGCUUCGGAGUAGCUGUGGUCUGCGCCGCGGGAGACAAACCGAUCGGAGCUGGGAGAAGUGCUAGCUCGGGCCUGGAGAAGCCGGGGCCCGAGAAGAGAGGGGAGGAAGAGAAGGAAGAGGAGAGGGGGCCGCAGUGGGCGCUCGGCUCUCGGGAGCCGGGCUCAUGGACGGGUGAGGCGGCCGUGUGCGCAGACAGUGCUCCAGCCGCGCGCGCGCCUCAGGCCCCGGCCCGGGCCUUGGUUCCAGAAGGGAGAGGAGCCCGCCAAGGCGCGCAAGAGAGCGGGCUGCCUCGCAGUCCGAGCCGGAGAGGGAGCGCGAGCCGCGCCGGCCCCGGCCGGGCCUCCGAAACCAUGAACUUUCUGCUCUCUUGGGUGCACUGGACCCUGGCUUUACUGCUGUACCUCCACCAUGCCAAGUGGUCCCAGGCUGCACCCACGACAGAGGGAGAGCAGAAGACCCAUGAAGUGGUGAAGUUCAUGGACGUCUACCAGCGAAGCUACUGCCGUCCGAUUGAGACCCUGGUGGACAUCUUCCAGGAGUACCCCGAUGAGAUAGAGUAUAUCUUCAAGCCGUCCUGUGUGCCCCUGAUGCGGUGUGCAGGCUGCUGCAACGAUGAGGCCCUGGAGUGUGUGCCCACGUCUGAGAAUAACAUCACCAUGCAGGUGGGCACCUGUGGCACAGGGGACUGGGGGCCAGGAGGACAGGGGGGCACGAGGAGGGGCACUAGAAGGUUGUCUGGGCCUCUGCCUGGGAAACUUUUGGUAG
Mastomys coucha (southern multimammate mouse) is the source of this 1139-nucleotide RNA transcript. It is a transcript of the gene named vascular endothelial growth factor A-like, with no coding region annotated. The transcript has 3 exons. The record is from RefSeq and is a predicted model, not a curated record. NCBI's taxonomy places the organism in Eukaryota, Metazoa, Chordata, Mammalia, Rodentia, Muridae.